CCUUUUCCUAGAUCAUUCUUUCUUCCCUUCUUUUGCCUUUUGGGAUCUUGCAUUUUUCUUCUUGGCUUUAAGAGGGCCCACAAGUAGUUUCAUUAAUAAGUGAAUAAGCAUUUGGCUUAAGGAAUAACUUUAAAUGGAAAUACCAAAGUAGAGAGGAAACAGAAAACUUCUCAAAGACAGACUUGUUUAAAACACUCGUUUGUUGAUUCAGAUUGAAGCAGUAAGUUUCUCUGUGAACGGAUGAUGCUCGUUUCUGGGGCUCUGCGUGCCCUGGACUUGCAGCCACAGGAGGCACUUGCCCCCCUCUUGCAGGAGUGGCUGGGCUCUUCUUUGGUAGAACUAGGGACGUUGCCUUGUGAUAUAGCCUGCGAAAGAUUUGUUGUUUGCACAAGAGACGUCUUUAUAAAAUAUACGGCAUGUCAAACCCUUUGUGGCUUUAGUUGUUGGUAUAACUACUUACUCCCUACCUUCUGCUUAUGGGGGUUACUCAGCUCAUGCUCUGCUUGGCUGAUUAAUAUGCCCAGUUACUUUAACUGCUCAUUUUAUUCCAUCAUAGAGUCCAACUUGAACAUUUUCUUAGUAAGUACAAAUCUGCUUGAGGAAGGAGGUGAAUGCUAACUGAAAUGUCAGCCUUUUGUGCUAGUCAAGGAACCAAUAAAUUUUUUUAAAAAAUUGCAGAUGAGCAGCGCACAAGCAGCUUGCACAUUCCUGUCACCAAAGCGUAAGAUCUUCAUGAGAUGGCAUUUGGAAGCCCCUGUUCUUUCCUUGGAGGUCCCUGAUGCUACAGAGCUAACAGCUCUGCGGAAGCUUAAAGCGUAGGACCACCUUCCGAGGUUGGAACUGUUUCUGUGCCUAAUGAAGAGAUUGAAGACCAUGGGCAGAUCUAGCUAGUUGUGUCAGCACCAGAGCCAGGGAUUCCUUGCACACCCGUCCACAAUCAUGCACAAUUAUUAUUAUGUUUUUACUGAAUUGUUUAGUUAGUCAAGUCAUAGAUUUUUCUAUUUAUUAGGGACAAUUUGUAACAUUUAAAAUAAAAAAACUGCCUGAACAUCU
This is a long non-coding RNA of Myotis brandtii (Brandt's bat), 1053 nucleotides long. RefSeq lists it as uncharacterized. The transcript is spliced from 3 exons. Lineage: Eukaryota; Metazoa; Chordata; Mammalia; Chiroptera; Vespertilionidae. The record is from RefSeq and is a predicted model, not a curated record.